GUGCCAGCAGCCGCGGUAAUACGUAGGGUGCGAGCGUUGUCCGGAAUUACUGGGCGUAAAGAGCUAGUAGGUGGUUUGUCGCGUCGUCUGUGAAAUCCCGGGGCUUAACUUCGGGCGUGCAGGCGAUACGGGCAUAACUAGAGUGCUGUAGGGGAGACUGGAAUUCCUGGUGUAGCGGUGAAAUGCGCAGAUAUCAGGAGGAACACCGAUGGCGAAGGCAGGUCUCUGGGCAGUUACUGACGCUGAGGAGCGAAAGCAUGGGUAGCGAACAGGAUUAGAUACCCUGGUAGUCCAUGCCGUAAACGGUGGGCGCUAGGUGUGGGGGUUUUAUUUACGAUUCCCGUGCCGUAGCUAACGCAUUAAGCGCCCCGCCUGGGGAGUACGGCCGCAAGGCUAAAACUCAAAGGAAUUGACGGGGGCCCGCACAAGCGGCGGAGCAUGUGGAUUAAUUCGAUGCAACGCGAAGAACCUUACCUGGGCUUGACAUACACCGGAUCGCUGCAGAGAUGUAGUUUCCCUUUGUGGCUGGUGUACAGGUGGUGCAUGGUUGUCGUCAGCUCGUGUCGUGAGAUGUUGGGUUAAGUCCCGCAACGAGCGCAACCCUUGUCUUGUGUUGCCAGCACGUUAUGGUGGGGACUCGCGAGAGACUGCCGGGGUUAACUCGGAGGAAGGUGGGGGAUGACGUCAAAUCAUCAUGCCCCUUUAUGUCCAGGCUUCACACAUGCUACAAUGGUCGGUACAGUGAUUGCGAUACCGUGAGGUGGAGCUAAUCCUUAAGGCGGUCUCAGUUCGAUUGGAGUCUGCACUCGACUUCAUGAAGUCGGAGUCGCUAGUAAUUCGCAGAUCAGCACGCUGGC
RNAcentral lists this ribosomal RNA (857 nucleotides) under uncultured bacterium. RNAcentral's name for it is "bacterial SSU rRNA". It matches the Rfam family "Bacterial small subunit ribosomal RNA", at positions 505 to 1360 of the family's 1533-position model. The record is from RNAcentral.